RNAcentral lists this long non-coding RNA (1054 nucleotides) under Lynx canadensis (Canada lynx). RNAcentral's name for it is "lncRNA (ENSLCNG00005007233.1)". The record is from RNAcentral. Lineage: Eukaryota; Metazoa; Chordata; Mammalia; Carnivora; Felidae.
CUCAGCCCCACCUAUUUCCAAAGCCCAUGCUCUGGAGGUGCUAACAUGUAACUGUGGCAACUAAGAACACCCUGUGAACAGCCUAAAGAGAAGCCAGGUGUCACCCAAGUUCAUCCUGACAAAUCACUACUAAAUGUUACAAAGCCAGGCGUGUAAGUAACUUUUCCCUUUAUCUGGAGACUGGUGAAUCAAUUCCAAAAUACUGGAAAAUAAAUGUAAAUAAAAUAAGGGCCUAUCGUCCUUGACUUUCUCUGUGGGCCUAGCCAACAGUAAAAGUGAGUAUUUUCAUCCCUAUUAACAUAACCUUAGUCAUUUUGUGUGGGUGUUUUCCCUUUAAGUACUUCUUGCAUUUCCCAUUUGGCAAACCAUCCUUUUAAAGCACCUCCUCUUCUAAGGGCUUUCUUUGUUUCUGAAUCUCCCUUUAACAACCUCAACACCUUUUUGCCUUUCCAGAUUUUAAAACCACCACCCAGUACCUUCGCCCUUGAACCUACAUGCCACAAGAGCUCAGCAACAUUAACACUAAAACCUUGGGAGAUUUAUGUGGCUGACCCUGGACUACCAGUGGGCGUCUGUUGAUCCAAAAGAUCUAAACAGUUUCAUAAGAUCCUCUUGAAGCUGCAUACAUGCCAAGGAUUGAGUGAAGAUCAUAGUUACGACCACAGGAGGAAAUCCUAUCAUUGUGAGCAGCUUUCACAGGAACGGCUCAUCAAGUAUUAGCAGUAAGGUCCUGGAGGCAUCGAAAACAAAUCCAUAUGCAGGUCCUUAUAAAAAAUACACAUUUAAAUACUUCCCCCUGCAUAAUAGAAAUCCUGCAUCUCACACAGCAACAUCUUUAUUUUCCUACAGUAUCAUCUGACCUGAUUUUCCUACAAAGAGAGUGAACUCUGGAGCCAGACAGGCUGGGAUCCAUUCUAGUUCUGCUGUGAGCCGUCUGUCAGGAGUCAGGCAAGUUCCUUGACCUUACUAUGCUUCAUAUGUGUCAUCUGCAACACAGGAAUUAGCUACCUUCCAAGUUGUUAUGGGGAUUACAGGCAUGCUAUAUCCAUAUUAG